RNAcentral lists this ribosomal RNA (496 nucleotides) under uncultured bacterium. RNAcentral describes it as "partial 16S ribosomal RNA". It matches the Rfam family "Bacterial small subunit ribosomal RNA", at positions 28 to 506 of the family's 1533-position model. The record is from RNAcentral.
GAUGAACGCUGGCGGCGUGCCUAAUACAUGCAAGUCGAGCGAACAGAUGAGGAGCUUGCUCCUCUGACGUUAGCGGCGGACGGGUGAGUAACACGUGGAUAACCUACCUAUAAGACUGGGAUAACUUCGGGAAACCGGAGCUAAUACCGGAUAAUAUAUUGAACCGCAUGGUUCAAUAGUGAAAGACGGUUUUGCUGUCACUUAUAGAUGGAUCCGCGCCGCAUUAGCUAGUUGGUAAGGUAACGGCUUACCAAGGCGACGAUGCGUAGCCGACCUGAGAGGGUGAUCGGCCACACUGGAACUGAGACACGGUCCAGACUCCUACGGGAGGCAGCAGUAGGGAAUCUUCCGCAAUGGGCGAAAGCCUGACGGAGCAACGCCGCGUGAGUGAUGAAGGUCUUCGGAUCGUAAAACUCUGUUAUUAGGGAAGAACAAAUGUGUAAGUAACUAUGCACGUCUUGACGGUACCUAAGCAGAAAGCCACGGCUAACUACGU